RNAcentral lists this unclassified non-coding RNA (323 nucleotides) under uncultured fungus. Its description in RNAcentral is "sequence contains ITS1". The stretch from base 1 to 105 matches the Rfam family "5.8S ribosomal RNA", at positions 50 to 154 of the family's 154-position model. Lineage: Eukaryota; Fungi. The record is from RNAcentral.
GAAAUGCGAUACGUAGUGUGAAUUGCAGAAUUCCGUGAAUCAUCGAAUCUUUGAACGCAUAUUGCGGUCGAGGCUUCGGCCGAGACCAUGUCUGCCUCAGCGUCGGUGUGAACCCUCAUCCCCCCUCACGGGCUCGGAUGGACCUGGCCUCCUCAGCCUCGCGGCUGGGCUGGCUGAAAUUCGGAGGUUUAAGCUUGGGCCUGUCUGGCAACAGCAAGGUAGGUAGUUUACUACUCCAGCUGAUGCUUUGGGCACUCGUUCGAACCCGCAGGAAUUCUCACCCUUUCGACCUGAGAUCAGGCAAGGCUACCCGCUGAACUUAA